CUGCCAGACUCCUACGGGAGGCAGCAGUGGGGAAUAUUGGUCAAUGGGCGCCCUCCUGACCCAGCUCCGCCGCGUGAGGGAAGACGGUCUUCGGCUUUUCAACCUCUUUCCUCCGGGAAGACCCCCGGACGGUACCUUCCUCAGAAGCCCCUUCUCACUACGUUCCCUCCGCCGCGGUCCUCCUUAGGUGGCCCUCGUUAUCCGGAAUGCCUGGGUGUAAAGGGUGUGUAGGCGGGGCUGCAAGUCAGAGUGGAAAAUUAGGGGGGCAACCCAUAACCUGCGUCUGAAACUGUAGCUCUUGAGAGUGGGAGAGGGAAACGGAAUGCCCGGUGUAGCGGUGAAAUGCGUAGAGAGAGGGAGGAACACCAGUGGCGAAGGCGGUUUACUGGACCACAACUGACGCUGAGACACGAAAGCGUGGGGAGCAAACAGGAUUAGAUACCCGUGUA
Molecule: ribosomal RNA, 449 nt
Filed under: uncultured bacterium
Lineage: Bacteria
Description: bacterial SSU rRNA
Rfam family: Bacterial small subunit ribosomal RNA
Source: RNAcentral